AUAACGACUCUCGGCAACGGAUAUCUCGGCUYUCMCAUYGAUGAARAACSUAGCGAAAUGCSAUACUUGGUGUGAAUUGCARAAUCCCGUGAACCAUCGAGUCUUUGAACSCAAGUUGCGCCCGAAGCCAUUAGGCCGAGGGCACGUCUGCCUGGGCGUCUCAC
Molecule: ribosomal RNA, 164 nt
Filed under: Planchonella novozelandica
Lineage: Eukaryota; Viridiplantae; Streptophyta; Magnoliopsida; Ericales; Sapotaceae
Description: 5.8S ribosomal RNA
Rfam family: 5.8S ribosomal RNA
About the family: 5.8S ribosomal RNA (5.8S rRNA) is a component of the large subunit of the eukaryotic ribosome. It is transcribed by RNA polymerase I as part of the 45S precursor that also contains 18S and 28S rRNA.
Source: RNAcentral